RNAcentral lists this ribosomal RNA (468 nucleotides) under uncultured bacterium. RNAcentral describes it as "partial 16S ribosomal RNA". It matches the Rfam family "Bacterial small subunit ribosomal RNA", at positions 28 to 507 of the family's 1533-position model. The record is from RNAcentral.
GACGAACGCUGGCGGCGUGCUUAACACAUGCAAGUCGAACGGAAAGGCCCUGCUUUUGUGGGGUGCUCGAGUGGCGAACGGGUGAGUAACACGUGAGUAACCUGCCCUUGACUUUGGGAUAACUUCAGGAAACUGGGGCUAAUACCGGAUAGGAGCUCCUGCUGCAUGGUGGGGGUUGGAAAGUUUCGGCGGUUGGGGAUGGACUCGCGGCUUAUCAGCUUGUUGGUGGGGUAGUGGCUUACCAAGGCUUUGACGGGUAGCCGGCCUGAGAGGGUGACCGGCCACAUUGGGACUGAGAUACGGCCCAGACUCCUACGGGAGGCAGCAGUGGGGAAUAUUGCACAAUGGGCGGAAGCCUGAUGCAGCAACGCAGCGUGCGGGAUGACGGCCUUCGGGUUGUAAACCGCUUUCGCCUGUGACGAAGCGUGAGUGACGGUAAUGGGUAAAGAAGCACCGGCUAACUACGCG